Molecule: ribosomal RNA, 1415 nt
Filed under: uncultured fungus
Lineage: Eukaryota; Fungi
Description: eukaryotic LSU rRNA
Rfam family: Eukaryotic large subunit ribosomal RNA (bases 721-1415)
Source: RNAcentral
CUUGGUCAUUUAGAGGAAGUAAAAGUCGUAACAAGGUUUCCGUAGGUGAACCUGCGGAAGGAUCAUUGAAGAAUUUCGAAGCGGUUCGGUCGCCUGUGCUGGUUCCCUCCGGGACACGUGCACGGCUCCGUCCCGUUUCAACUCCUCACAAACACACACCUCUGCGCACAACCGAGGGUCGGAUCGCCUUUCACAUCUCUCGCGCCCCCCCGGCGCCCGAGUCUGACCCGUCCCUCAAACCCUUACACACUCUUUUGACCGUCUCGAAUGUCUAUAAUAACAAAUAUAAAUUACAACUUUCAACAAUGGAUCUCUUGGCUCUCGCAUCGAUGAAGAACGCAGCGAAAUGCGAUAAGUAAUGUGAAUUGCAGAAUUCAGUGAAUCAUCGAAUCUUUGAACGCACCUUGCGCCCCUCGGUCCUGCCGAGGAGCAUGCCCGUUUGAGUGCCGCGAACAUCAUCAACCUCAUCUCCCCGCUCUGGGGGGAAAAGGGUUGGACUUGGACGCUGCCGGCGACCUCGGUCUCGGCUCGUCUCAAAUGCAUUAGCAGUCUCCUUCUUCGGUCGCUGACCUUUCGGCGUGAUGGGUUCUUAAUGGACGAAGCGCCGUUGUGAGUGUCUCGGUGGCCAUCGAAAAUUUGCGGAGUCGGCUCCCAACAGGUCUCCCUCUCGCGAGACAAUCGCCUCGGCGGUUAACCGCUCUCCCCCGGGAGAGCGUCGUAUGGCCUCAAAUCGGGUAGGACUACCCGCUGAACUUAAGCAUAUCAAUAAGCGGAGGAAAAGAAACUAACAAGGAUUCCCCUAGUAACGGCGAGUGAAGCGGGAAAAGCUCAAAUUUUAAAUCUGGCGGUCCUUGGGCCGUCCGAGUUGUAAUCUAGAGAAGCGUCAUCCGCGCCGGACCGUGUUAAAGUCUCCUGGAACGGAGCGUCGUAGAGGGUGACAAUCCCGUCUCUAACGCGGACCACCGGGGCUUAUGCGAUGUGCUCUCCACGAGUCGAGUUGUUUGGGAAUGCAGCUCUAAUUGGGUGGUAAACUCCAUCUAAAGCUAAAUAUAGGCGAGAGACCGAUAGCGCACAAGUACCGUGAGGGAAAGAUGCAAAGCACUUUGGAAAGAGAGUGAAACAGUACGUGAAAUUGUUGAAAGGGAAACGCUUGAAGUCAGUCGCGUCUGCCGGGGAUCAGCCCGGCUUAACGGCCUGGUGCAUUCUCUGGUUUGACGGGUCAGCACCGAUUUUGGCCGUCUGUAUAAUGGCGGGUGGAAUGUGGCACUCCUCGGAGUGUGUUAUAGCCGCCCGUCGGGUGCGGCGACCGGGAUCGAGGUUCACAGCGCGCCCUUCUGGGCCGGGGUUUCGACUCACGUAACGCGCUUGCGAUGCUGGCGUAAUGGCUUUAAACGACCCGUCUUGAAACACGGACC